CAACUCAAUUGCAGAAACAACAAAAUGGGCAAAGGAUCUGAAUGGACUUUUUUCCAGAGAAGGCAUACAAAUGGCCAACAAGUACUUGAAAAAGGUGCUCUACAUCACUAAAUAUUAGGGAUAUGGAAGUCAAAAUAAUAAAGAAAUACCAACUUACACUUGUUAGGAUAUCUAUUAUUAAAAAAAAGACAUUGAGAAUGCUGGUGAGGUCAUGGAGACAAGGAAACCCUUGUACACUACUGGUGGGAAUGCAAACAGUACAGCCACUGUGGAAAAAAGUAUGGAGUCUCCUCAAAAAACUAAAAAUAGAACUAUCACAUAGAUGACCCAGCAAUUCCACUUUUGGGAAUAUAUCCAAAGGAAAUAAAAUCACUAUCUCAAAGAGAUAUCUGUGCUCCCAUAUUCAUUGCAGCAUUAUUCACAAGAGCCAAGGUAUGAAAACAACCUACGUGUUCUUCAUCAUAUCAAUGGAUAAAGAAGUUGUUGUGUCUGUGUAUACCAUGGAAUAUUAUUCAACCAUAGAAAAGAGCCCUAAAUCCUCAUAAUCCAAGUCAGUUCUUAUGAAUGACUCUGAAAUUCCUAUUAAUAGAAGUUUCAUCCCUUCAUUCAUUUACUUAUUCACUCAUUCUUACUACUCUGUAAUAUGUUUGUAGUUUUAAGUUUAUUCAUUUUGAGGUGGGAGGGGCAGAAAGAUGGGGAGAGAGAUCCCAAACAGGCUCACACUGUCAGUGCAGAACCUUGCACAGGCCUCCAUCUCAUGAACCAUGAGAUCAUGACCUGAGCUGAAAUCAAGAGUCUGACACUUAACCAACAUUUAACCGGUGCCCCAAUACUUUUUUAAUAGAAUUCGUACUACAGAAAUUACAUUCUGUAAAUGGAGAUUUCAGAUAAAUUCCAGUGGGGGGGGGGGGGUGCAGGAGUCAGAAUGAUGAAGGUAUUCAAGGAGACUAGUUCAAGGUGUAGCAAAUCUACUUGUGACAUCUUAAUAUCCCAGGAUAUAAAUGGUUUACUAUUCUCCUCAAGGAGAAGGUGUGCUAUGUACACUGGAUGACGUUCUGUUAUCUUUAAACUCACAUACUCAUACAUAGUUAAUGACUCUUAGGAGCAUGAAGUUGCAAAAUACUUUUGUUUUAGAAAAGACAUUGUAUUAAUAGCAAAUUAUUGUAAAUGUCCAUAGCCAUUUGGAUCAAAGCAAUUGAAAAUAUAAGCUUAUACCUUUAUCUCAAACUGUGCAACUCUGAGAUGACACCAGAAGUAAAGUCUUUUGGAGGAUUUUGUCAUUACAUUUGAGAGAAAACACUUCUUUCUUGCUAAUUACCUAAAGGCUAGAAAAGAAAUGAAGGCAUGAGACUGGUGAAAUGAAAUCUGAAUUUUCAUUUGUUAUAACCCUUUUCCUCAAAUGUAUUUAUGAAUAUGCUUUCCUACUCCUAUAAGUUUAGAGCUAACAUGAUUCAGACUUUGAUGGUUGAGAGUAUCAUGGUGCCCAAGAUUAUCACUGAGAAUACGAGAUUAUCCUUAUCCAGCAGUGCAGCUAUAUAUGUGAUGGAUAAGAGGUUGAACUGACUGAUUAUUGACACCAAACCGUACCUUGGAAAUUAUUUGCUUAUGUUAUUUGGUUGUAUCAUUGUCCCUUUCUUAGAAAUAUAGUAUGCUUAGGCAUAAAGAUGGCUCAUAAUUAUAAGUGCUAAUUAAUGAUCAAAUAAUUGAGAAAUUGAUACACACAUAUGUAUAUGUAUAUGUAUAUGUAUAUGUAUAUGUAUAUGUAUAUGUAUAUGUAUGUGUAACUAGCUUGGUGUUCUUUACAUAGUACACAUGCAAAUUGUUUCCUGAAAGAUUGAUGCUGUCCCAUCAGUGUGGGCCCAGUUCUUGUCCCAAUGCACCAAAAGUUACAAAUUGUGAUGGUUGACAAUGUCCAAAGUAAAUUCAUAAGUUAAUUUAUGCUUUUGACAAAUUCUAGUUGAAGAGUAUGGCAGUUAGACCUGGAUUCAAAUGUUGGUUCUAGCAUUUAUUAAUUUUUUGGGUUUGGGCAUAUUAGUGAAAUCCAUGAAUCUUUAAUGCUCUGUAUAUAUUAUAUAAUAUAUAAUCUCUUCUUAUUAAAAUGCAGUGAAUAACACACACUUCAUAGUGCUUUCCUGAGGAUUAACUAAGAUAGCAUGCAUAAAACAACUGAAAUGGUAUCUGUCCUGGAGUAGAUGUUUAACUGUUAACCUCUCUCCCUUUUUGUCCUUUCACAGAGACGGUUGAAAAUGCAUCUUGAGGCAUCAUGUCCUUUAUUCAUGAUAUGCUACUUGUUGAACUUACUAUAUGGAUUUUCUCUUUUCCUGAUCUACUCUCAGCAUCCACUUACCUUGUCAAAGAAUUAUUCUCCCUACCUAUAUAAAGAGUGUUUGCAAAUAAUGUGAACAAAAUGGACAUUUUUACUCACCAAUAGAAAAGCAUGACAGACAAUUCCCAAAAAAGUAAGUGAAGAUAUCUAAAAAAUAUACAAUAAUUCAACCCUUACUUAUAAUAAAAAUUUAAAUUGAAACCUCAGUAAAAUAAAUAUUUUUAGCCCAUCAAAUUGCCAAAUGGUAGUUGGUUGUUUUCAACUUUUAAUUCAAUAGUCAUGGUAAAGAAAGACAAGCUUUCAUUUGUUGCUGGUUUGGGUAUAAAGAUAGAGGAAGAAUUUAACAAUAAUAACAUUUCCUGAAUCAUAUUAUAAGAAAAUAUAUGAGAAAUAGGAUUAAUGAUUUGUGUCCAAAAUUGUUCAAUGUUAUUUUUGAGAAUAUUUUAACUUAUUUAGGCAUCCAACACUAGGGAGAUGGUCAAAUGCAUCAUAAUACCACUAAUGAAACAUUAUACAGUUAUUUAGUAUAAUUUUAAAAAAAUAUUUAAAGACAUGAAGGAUCCCUUCAUUGUAUUUUUAAUUGAAGAAAAUAAAGUAUUCAAGUGUAUGUUGGCUACAACUUUUAUAAGUUCAAGAGUUUUGUCUGAUAUAUUUAUAGCUGACUGUCCCCAGUGCGUAGAAUAGUGCCAGGCACUGGCAGGCAUGCUGUAUGUAUUUGCUAAAUCAAGUAAUGAAUGAAUACGCAGUAUGUUUCCACUUAAAAAUACACAUACACAUAUAUACACACAAUUAAGAAGAAAAAACAUCAAAAUACUAGCAAUGUCAAUCUCUAUAUUGGUCAGUAUAUUUUAUUUUUAUAUUUUUAGCAAUUUCCAAAUUCUCUGUAGUUUAUAAUCAGGCAAAAUUUAUUGGACCCAUAGCCUUGUUAUCUUCAACCAAUAAUUCCAACUUGUGGAAUAUAUUUCUGCCUCUGUAGUUCAUUUCUGAAGCCAUGCCCAAGAAAUUUGGCAUAUUUGCCUUUCUGGUGCAUACUGAGCAGGAUGGCAUCCUUUACAGUACGAGAUCAUUCUCUCCAGUUUGAAUACACUUUGAAAUAAUGAUCUAAAUGAUUUUCAACCCACCUCCUGUCAACCGUAUUAGAACGUGGGAUCAGUGUAUACCCUUCUACUUUGUUCACGAUGAUUUGUUGUAGAAUGUUGGCAAUGGCUUCUUGGUAGCAAAGACCUGCAUUCUGACCUGUACGUCUACUGAUCUUCUUAGAAAAAAAAACAAGGUUAGUUUGAUUUGGUUUGAUCUCAGUGAUCCUUGCAGUGAUUAUCUUUUUUUUCCCCUUAAGUUCUCAUGACCUAAAUAUUUAAAAAUCUCUUUCAGAAUUUUGUCUGUAUAAUGUCAAACUUGGCUUUUUCUUCCAAGACCUACAUUUUUGAAGAUGAAUAAAACAUCUGCUUAUCUCCUGAGUAGCACCUGGAUACCCUGACUCUAUGGUCUCUUUGAAAUCCCCAAGGAUAGAUUGACUUUCACAUCUGCAAUUGUUAAAUAAGUUGCUUUUCCCAGAGAACUUUAGAGAUGCAUUUCAUUUUGGCAAGAUGUUGUUCCUUAGAUUUACAUACAUUUUAAAUGGCAUGGUGCUUUCUUACCAUGUCUUUGCAUUUUUCAUUUUCUGAUUCAAUACUUAUUUUGCAUUUCCCAGUAAAAGAUCAUUCUCCUUGAUAGAGAUCAUUGAGGCACCUUUGUUCUUGCUUUGUUCUGACAAUAACACCCUUAUCUCCUGAGAUUAUUCUUUAACCUCCUAGCUGAAUUUUCUAUGCCAUAUUCUACAUUUGUACCAAAUUGUACCAAAUGUGGUUUUUUUUUUAACUUUCCUUGUUAAAAUAAUUUAAGAAUGCAGGAAUGCUGAAAAAAUAGCACACGUAUUUAACCUUUAUCCAGUUUCCCUGAGUGGUAAUCCUCUCCCCAUCCCCUUUCUUAAACUGUUUUUGAGAGUAUGUGCAAGUAUGCUAUCUCUUUACAUCUAAAUGCUUCUGUUUGUAUUUCUAAAAAACAAAACAAAACAAAAAACUGAAUAGAAAAGACCAAGAAUAUUCUCUUAUACAACAAGAGUAUAGUUAUGUAUGAGGGAACUGGCAUUGUUACUAAUAGGGUUCAGGAUAUACUACCACAAAAAAAAGACACCUUGGCAUAUUUAAUACUUUAAGCUGAAGGAGUUUGAGAAAAUGGCAGAAGCAGGAGGAUAACUGACCUCUCCAUCCUCAGCCUUCUUCCCUGAAAGGGGAUAAAUCACCCCUGUGAAGGCAUCCUUCCAGUACCAGGAGGAGGGAAGACAUUCUUAUCACCAGAGACAAGAAAUUAACAAAUCUUGUUAAACUAGCCAUUGUUUUCCUAAAACUUCUUCACCAGCACUACCCCUAGCCCAAAGCCCAUUGUUUUGUCAAUUCUCCAUAAAUUUAUGGUUUCUUUACCUAAAUUGUAUGAAAGCUUCCUGCUCUGGUCACUUCUUUGGAUCUCAUUCCCUUGUGAAGGCUCUCAUGUACAUGUAAAGAUACAUUAAAAUCUAUGUGCUUUUCUCCUGUUAAUCUUUUUAAAUUUAAUUUUCAGACCUAGCCAGCAACCCUAAGAGGAUGGAGGAAAACUUUUUCCUCACCUACAUGCAAUCCAAUAUUAUUAUAGUACAAAUAUAUAAUAAAUAAUAGUAAAGAACUUAUUCAAAUAUUGCCUGUUUUUCUAGUAAUGCUCAUAACAAAUUAUCUUUUUUUUUCUGGUCUAGGAUCUCAUAUUGUAUUUGGUUGCCGUAUCUGUUUGAUCUCCCUUCUUCUGGAACAUUUUCCAGUCUUCCUUUGCCUUUCAUGACCUUGAUGUUUUUGAGGACUCCAGACUAGUUAUAUAGUAGUUUGUCUCUCAAUUUUGGUUUGUCUGAUAUUUCUUCAUUAUUAGAUUCAGGUUAUGCAUUUUUAGCAGGAAUACCACAGAAGUGAUGUUGUGUCCUUCUCAGGAGGCGCUUUUACUGCCAUUACUGGUGAAUUAACUUUGAUCAUUUGGUUAAGGUGGUGUCUGCCAGGUUUCUCCCAUAAAGUUACUGUUUCCCCCUUCAUAAUUAAUAAGUAUCUUGUGGAGAGAUACUUUGAGACUUUGUAAAUAUCCUGUCUCAUCAAAUAUUCACCCUUUAGUUUAGUAUCCAUCGAUGAUUUGUGCCUGAAACAAAUAGUAUCACAAUGAUUAUUUCCAUAGUAAAUUUCUAAUUUGGUAACUUUUUUCUGUAUUCAUUAGCUGGUAUUUUUAUAUAAGGAAGAGAUUUCAUUUCCCCCUUUCAAUUAUUUACUUAAUAAUUAGGAUGACCUCAUGGAUCCUUAUAUUUCAUUUAAUUCAAUGAGUUAUAUGCUGUUACUAUCAUUAUUUUGAUGCACAAUUUGUCUCAGUUUGGCCAGUUGGAGACCAUCAAACUGUGUGUGUGUGUGUGUGUGUGUGUGUGUGUGUAUGUGUGUGUGUAUUUUGACAUGUCCUUAUUUGGAGGCAACACACAAUUUCUUUCUUUCUGGACUCAAAGAUAUUCCAAGAACAUUCUGUAUUUUCCCAGUCCCAACCCUGGCAUCAUCUAAUCAGCCAAGAAACUCAGUUUCCUUUUAAUUUACAAUGAUGUUUAAAAAUCAAAGUAUGGGUACUAGGUGUGGUCAUUGCUAUUGGAGUGUUGUUGCCUCUAGGUUGUUGUUGUUGUUGUUGUUGUUGUUUUCCCAGAAGACACAGCACACCACACACAUACAUGCAUAUAUAGACACAGUUAUAUCUAUUUCAUUAUCUAUCUAUCUAUAUCUAUUUAUAUUGAUAGCUCCAGUUUGAAAUCAACAUGAGAGUUCCUUCCUUUCCACAGUUGUAGCUCUCUUCUCAAACAAUAAGAAAACUGGCUGGUUAUCCAUAUUUUGAUAUGUCAGAGAAGGUCAGCUUUUCUACUUAAAUUCUGACAAGAAUUUUCAGUUUUAAAUUUUUUUUUUAACGUUUAUUUAUUUUUUUUAUUAAAUUUUUUUUCAACGUUUUUAUUU
This is a long non-coding RNA of Felis catus (domestic cat), 6357 nucleotides long. RefSeq lists it as uncharacterized. Lineage: Eukaryota; Metazoa; Chordata; Mammalia; Carnivora; Felidae. The record is from RefSeq and is a predicted model, not a curated record. The transcript is spliced from 3 exons.